This 469-nucleotide ribosomal RNA is filed under the name uncultured bacterium. RNAcentral's name for it is "partial 16S ribosomal RNA". It matches the Rfam family "Bacterial small subunit ribosomal RNA", at positions 28 to 508 of the family's 1533-position model. The record is from RNAcentral.
GACGAACGCUGGCGGCGUGCUUAACACAUGCAAGUCGAACGGAAAGGCCCUGCUUUUGUGGGGUGCUCGAGUGGCGAACGGGUGAGUAACACGUGAGUAACCUGCCCUUGACUUUGGGAUAACUUCAGGAAACUGGGGCUAAUACCGGAUAGGAGCUCCUGCUGCAUGGUGGGGGUUGGAAAGUUUCGGCGGUUGGGGAUGGACUCGCGGCUUAUCAGCUUGUUGGUGGGGUAGUGGCUUACCAAGGCUUUGACGGGUGGCCGGCCUGAGAGGGUGACCGGCCACAGUGGGACUGAGAUACGGCCCAGACUCCGACGGGAGGCAGCAGUGGGGAAUAUUGCACAAUGGGCGGAAGCCUGAUGCAGCAACGCCGCGUGCGGGAUGACGGCCUUCGGGUUGUAAACCGCUUUCGCCUGUGACGAAGCGUGAGUGACGGUAAUGGGUAAAGAAGCACCGGCUAACUACGUGC